RNAcentral lists this ribosomal RNA (921 nucleotides) under uncultured bacterium. RNAcentral describes it as "bacterial SSU rRNA". It matches the Rfam family "Bacterial small subunit ribosomal RNA", at positions 53 to 966 of the family's 1533-position model. The record is from RNAcentral.
ACAUGCAAGUCGAGGGGCAGCAUGGUCUUAGCUUGCUAAGGCCGAUGGCGACCGGCGCACGGGUGAGUAACACGUAUCCAACCUGCCGUCUACUCUUGGACAGCCUUCUGAAAGGAAGAUUAAUACAAGAUGGCAUCAUGAGUCCGCAUGUUCACAUGAUUAAAGGUAUUCCGGUAGACGAUGGGGAUGCGUUCCAUUAGAUAGUAGGCGGGGUAACGGCCCACCUAGUCUUCGAUGGAUAGGGGUUCUGAGAGGAAGGUCCCCCACAUUGGAACUGAGACACGGUCCAAACUCCUACGGGAGGCAGCAGUGAGGAAUAUUGGUCAAUGGGCGAGAGCCUGAACCAGCCAAGUAGCGUGAAGGAUGACUGCCCUAUGGGUUGUAAACUUCUUUUAUAAAGGAAUAAAGUCGGGUAUGGAUACCCGUUUGCAUGUACUUUAUGAAUAAGGAUCGGCUAACUCCGUGCCAGCAGCCGCGGUAAUACGGAGGAUCCGAGCGUUAUCCGGAUUUAUUGGGUUUAAAGGGAGCGUAGAUGGAUGUUUAAGUCAGUUGUGAAAGUUUGCGGCUCAACCGUAAAAUUGCAGUUGAUACUGGAUAUCUUGAGUGCAGUUGAGGCAGGCGGAAUUCGUGGUGUAGCGGUGAAAUGCUUAGAUAUCACGAAGAACUCCAAUUGCGAAGGCAGCCUGCUAAGCUGCAACUGACAUUGAGGCUCGAAAGUGUGGGUAUCAAACAGGAUUAGAUACCCUGGUAGUCCACACGGUAAACGAUGAAUACUCGCUGUUUGCGAUAUACUGCAAGCGGCCAAGCGAAAGCGUUAAGUAUUCCACCUGGGGAGUACGCCGGCAACGGUGAAACUCAAAGGAAUUGACGGGGGCCCGCACAAGCGGAGGAACAUGUGGUUUAAUUCGAUGAUACGCGAGG